UGGGGGAUAUUGCACAAUGGAGGAAACUCUGAUGCAGCGACGCCGCGUGAGGGAAGACGGUCUUCGGAUUGUAAACCUCUGUCGCCGGUGACGAUAAUGACGGUAACCGGUGAGGAAGCUCCGGCUAACUACGUGCCAGCAGCCGCGGUAAUACGUAGGGAGCGAGCGUUGUCCGGAUUUACUGGGUGUAAAGGGUGCGUAGGCGGCCCUGCAAGUCGGGUGUGAAAACCGUCGGCUCAACUGACGGAUUGCACUCGAAACUGCGGGGCUUGAGUGGAGCAGAGGCAGGCGGAAUUCCCGGUGUAGCGGUGAAAUGCGUAGAGAUCGGGAGGAACACCAGUGGCGAAGGCGGCCUGCUGGGCUUUAACUGACGCUGAGGCACGAAAGCAUGGGUAGCAAACAGG
This 404-nucleotide ribosomal RNA is filed under the name uncultured prokaryote. RNAcentral's name for it is "bacterial SSU rRNA". It matches the Rfam family "Bacterial small subunit ribosomal RNA", at positions 355 to 776 of the family's 1533-position model. RNAcentral also lists the same sequence under 1 other name. The record is from RNAcentral.